UACGAAGGGGGCUAGCGUUGUUCGGAUUUACUGGGCGUAAAGCGCACGUAGGCGGAUCGUUAAGUCGGGGGUGAAAUCCUGGAGCUCAACUCCAGAACUGCCUUCGAUACUGGCGAUCUUGAGUCCGGAAGAGGUGAGUGGAACUCCGUAGUGUAGAGGUGGAAUUCGUAGAUAUUAGGAAGAAUACCAGUGGCGAAGGCGGCUUAA
This 207-nucleotide ribosomal RNA is filed under the name uncultured bacterium. RNAcentral's name for it is "partial 16S ribosomal RNA". It matches the Rfam family "Bacterial small subunit ribosomal RNA", at positions 524 to 729 of the family's 1533-position model. The record is from RNAcentral.